Molecule: long non-coding RNA, 481 nt
Filed under: Medicago truncatula (barrel medic)
Lineage: Eukaryota; Viridiplantae; Streptophyta; Magnoliopsida; Fabales; Fabaceae
Description: long non-coding RNA (MTRU_LNC000957)
Source: RNAcentral
CCAAAACCACCUCAUCAUCCCAAACCCCCAGCAGUACACCCACCACAUGUUCCAAAACCACAUCCACCUUAUGUUCCAAAACCACCAAUUGUUAAACCUCCAAUAGUACAUCCACCUUACGUACCAAAACCCCCAGUUGUGAAACCACCACCAUAUGUCCCUAAACCACCUGUUGUGAGACCACCCUAUGUUCCUAAACCACCAGUUGUACCUGUAACACCACCUUAUGUUCCUAAGCCACCAAUUGUUUUCCCACCACAUGUUCCUCUACCUCCAGUUGUACCAUCACCACCACCUUAUGUACCAACACCUCCAAUUGUGAAACCACCAAUUGUUUUUCCACCACAUGUUCCUCUACCUCCAGUUGUGCCUGUAACACCACCUUAUGUGCAACCACCACCUAUUGUAACUCCACCAACACCAACACCUCCAAUUGUGACACCACCAACACCACCUAGUGAAACACCUUGUCCUCCACCAC